AUUACAGACACAGAUGAGAGGUUUUCACUGACUGUAGGCUAUACUUUGUGUUGUUUUGAACCUAAUUAAGGACGAAAUGUAUGCUUUAUGUACUUUUUCUGUAGUUGGUAACUUAUCAGGGACUGUAAGAGUCUGUAUGUGUUCAUAUAUGUUCAUUUAUUUAUUUAUUUAAAAUAAUUACAGACGUUACAGUAGGUUAUUUCAACCCAGUCUCAUCAAUCUGUGUACAAACAACACGACUUUACACUUUCCUUUUGCGUGCAAUGCAUAUGCAAAAAUCCAUUUUUUCGUGCAUAUGAUACGCCAAUUCUCCCCAUUCACUUCUGUUGAGAACAGAUGCGUACAAAUACCACACACCAACUCUAUGGCAAUGACGUCAUGAACAAGAUUCGGUUCCAAUGCACAGUUCACCUGAGGAGGGACCAUACUGAAGCAAGCUAUCCAAAUGGAUUCCCAGAGGAUGGGUCCAGGGGCCUCUUGUGUACUGAAGAAAAGACUGCAGGACCUCAAACUGAAACAGCAGCAGACUGUAGCAUGCAAAAGUUUCUCUGCGUCACUGAAAAAACAGCAUUCUCGAUGUUUGGUUUAUUGAUAAACUACAGUCAACAGAUGACAGACAAUGACAGCAGGAAUGUGUGCACAAAUACUUUCAUAUUUGAGUGUGUGAGAGAAACUUUGUCAAUGUCUGGUUAAUGUUUUAGUCAAUUGUAAAUAAAUGCUGUAAAGUAACAUCCCACAAUAACUCGAUGUCUUUGUUUAACCACUUUUUACUAAAUAAAACCAGUAUUGAACUACUUUAAAA
Molecule: non-coding RNA, 802 nt
Organism: Danio rerio (zebrafish)
Lineage: Eukaryota; Metazoa; Chordata; Actinopteri; Cypriniformes; Danionidae
Source: RefSeq, a predicted model, not a curated record